RNAcentral lists this ribosomal RNA (501 nucleotides) under uncultured bacterium. RNAcentral's name for it is "bacterial SSU rRNA". It matches the Rfam family "Bacterial small subunit ribosomal RNA", at positions 9 to 554 of the family's 1533-position model. The record is from RNAcentral.
GAGUUUGAUCCUGGCUCAGAGCGAACGCUGGCGGCAGGCUUAACACAUGCAAGUCGAGCGGGCGUAGCAAUACGUCAGCGGCAGACGGGUGAGUAACGCGUGGGAACGUACCUUUUGGUUCGGAACAACACAGGGAAACUUGUGCUAAUACCGGAUAAGCCCUUACGGGGAAAGAUUUAUCGCCGAAAGAUCGGCCCGCGUCUGAUUAGCUAGUUGGUAGGGUAAUGGCCUACCAAGGCGACGAUCAGUAGCUGGUCUGAGAGGAUGAUCAGCCACAUUGGGACUGAGACACGGCCCAAACUCCUACGGGAGGCAGCAGUGGGGAAUAUUGGACAAUGGGGGCAACCCUGAUCCAGCCAUGCCGCGUGAGUGAUGAAGGCCCUAGGGUUGUAAAGCUCUUUUGUGCGGGAAGAUAAUGACGGUACCGCAAGAAUAAGCCCCGGCUAACUUCGUGCCAGCAGCCGCGGUAAUACGAAGGGGGCUAGCGUUGCUCGGAAUCAC